GCGCGUAAACAAAUCACCCCGAAUGUGCCCAUCUCAUCAGAGCUCGCAAGCGAAGCAGGAAUUAGCCUGGCUAACAUUCACACGGGAGACUGCUUGGGAAUACCAGCUGUUGUCGGCU
This 118-nucleotide ribosomal RNA is filed under the name Petromyzon marinus (sea lamprey). The record is from RNAcentral. Lineage: Eukaryota; Metazoa; Chordata; Hyperoartia; Petromyzontiformes; Petromyzontidae.